CAACAUUGAAAAGGUUAUUACAAAAUUCGCUCAAUUGACACCACAAGAAAGGACAAAAAGGAAGUUGGAGAGCCUUGAAGCACUGAAGAAAACCUUUAAGAAGUUGGACCAUGAUGUAAAUAUACAAGACUUUUUGGGUUCAAGGUUUGUGUUUAUUUUGAUGAAUCUUUUAAAUCUUAAGGGAUUAACCCUCAUGAAAGAACUAAUUUAUUUUUUUUUUUUUU
Molecule: non-coding RNA, 224 nt
Organism: Camellia sinensis
Lineage: Eukaryota; Viridiplantae; Streptophyta; Magnoliopsida; Ericales; Theaceae
Source: RefSeq, a predicted model, not a curated record